UGGAAUCUGCUCCUUGGGGCCCACUGUUUGUGGAAUGGAGUCCUUGCUGUGUCUACCCAACCCUACUCCACUCACCUCUCUCCUAUGUCAACUUACUGCCCUCAUCCCUGGCCUCCACUCAUUCUCUUCCUACCCUUUGCCCCUGCUGUUCUCUCUGAACAAAGUUCAGCUCCCUCGUUCCCUGGGUGCUCUAGGGUUAGGGACAAGUUCUUAUUUGCUUACAUGUUCCUCCCACAAGGCCUGGGAGGCCAGCUCUGCAUUUCCUAGCUUGCAGCAGGGGAAAAAUCUGUGAUUGACCUGGCUGAGACCUUCGCCCCAUACGGUCUUUGGUGGCUCAGAUGAACCAAUCCCAGUGCCUUCUAACAGUUGGAGAGUAAGAAGGAUCCUGGAGCGGGGGAACUUCUGACAGCUCCUGCUCAUCCCCGGAGAAGACAGAAGCCCAUCACCUGGUACACUUCAGAGGAACACGCACCUGACAGCCAAGGAGAACUGGGCAGUAGUCCUCGGAUGUUGGGCGUCAUUUUCCGUGGGCAGUUGGGAGUCACUGUGCUUCUCCCACAAAAACUCUUCUCACAGUCCAACUUGUAUACAAACCCAUCAGACUGCUAGCCCCAGGGCAGGUACCUACCUAUCUUCCUGUCCCAGUACUGAGGGGCUCAAUAACUAUUGUUAACCUGAAGACACCGAAAACCUUGACAGCGCUGAGCUUGUUACAGCACCAUCUUGCUGUGUGUCCAUGUGCAGGUGCAACUGUACGUGAGAUCAGCGGCCAACCACCACCCUUUCCCAGGCCACACUCCAUCAGCAAGAGACUAUGCUACACCCCAAGACGAGAUGCAGCCAAUAAACAUGUCUAUGUAUUGACCUGAAAAA
Molecule: long non-coding RNA, 873 nt
Filed under: Homo sapiens (human)
Lineage: Eukaryota; Metazoa; Chordata; Mammalia; Primates; Hominidae
Description: HSALNT0312001
Source: RNAcentral